CGACUGCUAAUACCCCAUACUCCUUCUAAUCUCAAGAUUAGUUGGGAAAGAUUUAUUGCUAAAGGAUGGGGCUUUAUGGUAUCAGCUAGUUGGUGGGGUAACGGCCUACCAAGGCGAUGACGCCUACCUGGUCUGAGAGGAUGAUCAGGCACACUGGAACUGAGACACGGUCCAGACUCCUACGGGAGGCAGCAGUGGGGAAUAUUGCACAAUGGAGGAAACUCUGAUGCAGCAACGCCGCGUGGAGGAUGACGCAUUUCGGUGUGUAAACUCCUUUUAUAAGGGAAGAUAAUGACGGUACCUUAUGAAUAAGCACCGGCUAACUCCGUGCCAGCAGCCGCGGUAAUACGGAGGGUGCAAGCGUUACUCGGAAUCACNGGGCGUAAAGGAUGCGUAGGCUGGAAAUCAAGUCGAGAGUGAAAUCCAACGGCUCAACCGUUGAACUGCUCUCGAAACUGGUUACCUANAAUAUGGGAGAGGUAGAUGGANUNGGUGGUGUNGGGGUAAAAUCCGUAGAUAUCACCAGGAAUACCGAUUGCAAAGGCGAUCUNCUGGGAACAUUAUUGACGCUGAAGGCAUGAAAGCGUGGGGGAGCAAACAGGAUUAGAU
This 609-nucleotide ribosomal RNA is filed under the name Sulfurospirillum sp. PR4_A11. RNAcentral's name for it is "bacterial SSU rRNA". It matches the Rfam family "Bacterial small subunit ribosomal RNA", at positions 157 to 783 of the family's 1533-position model. The record is from RNAcentral. Lineage: Bacteria; Pseudomonadati; Campylobacterota; Epsilonproteobacteria; Campylobacterales; Sulfurospirillaceae.